This 1023-nucleotide ribosomal RNA is filed under the name uncultured Hypocreales. Its description in RNAcentral is "eukaryotic LSU rRNA". The stretch from base 381 to 1023 matches the Rfam family "Eukaryotic large subunit ribosomal RNA", at positions 1 to 667 of the family's 3401-position model. The record is from RNAcentral. Lineage: Eukaryota; Fungi; Ascomycota; Sordariomycetes; Hypocreales.
AAAACUUUCAACAACGGAUCUCUUGGCUCUGGCAUCGAUGAAGAACGCAGCGAAAUGCGAUAAGUAAUGUGAAUUGCAGAAUUCAGUGAAUCAUCGAAUCUUUGAACGCACAUUGCGCCCGCUGGUAUUCCAGCGGGCAUGCCCGUUCGAGCGUCAUUUUAAUCCCUUCCCGUCGAGACUCUUCUAUUCUGUAGUGGAGUGUCAGCGGGGCGUUGGCACUGGGCGCCUUAUUUGUUUAGGCGGCCCGAGCCGAAAUGAAGCGGCGGACUCGCGGCGGCCCCUAGCGCAGUAGAAACAACCCCUUCUCGCUUAGGAGAGCCGCAGCGGCGGACCACAGCCUCUACUACAUGCUUUUUUUACAAAAGCUACAUACCAAAACUUGACCUCGGAUCGGGUAGGACUACCCGCUGAACUUAAGCAUAUCAAUAAGCGGAGGAAAAGAAACCAACAGGGAUUGCCUUAGUAACGGCGAGUGAAGCGGCAACAGCUCAGAUUUGAAAUCUGGCCUUCGGGUCCGAGUUGUAAUCUGUAGAGGAUGCUUCGGGUGAGGUGCCUUCCGAGUGCCCUGGAACGGGACGCCAUAGAGGGUGAGAGCCCCGUCUGGUUGGAUGCCAAAUCUCUGUAAAGUUCCUUCAACGAGUCGAGUAGUUUGGGAAUGCUGCUCUAAAUGGGAGGUAUAUGUCUUCUAAAGCUAAAUACCGGCCAGAGACCGAUAGCGCACAAGUAGAGUGAUCGAAAGAUGAAAAGAACUUUGAAAAGAGAGUUAAAAAGUACGUGAAAUUGUUGAAAGGGAAGCGCUUGUGACCAGACUUGGGCUUGGUUGAUCAUCCGGGGUUCUCCCCGGUGCACUCUUCCGGCUCAGGCCAGCAUCAGUUCGCCCUGGGGGAUAAAGGCUUCGGGAAUGUGGCUCUCUCCGGGGAGUGUUAUAGCCCGCUGCGUAAUACCCUGUGGCGGACUGAGGUUCGCGCAUUCGCAAGGAUGCUGGCGUAAUGGUCAUCAGUGACCCGUCUUGAAACACGGACC